UGGGCGCCUAAAGUGCAAAGGGUGAGCAUUGCUAGUCUCUUUUUGGUGGAAAGGGAUGAUACUUGGUUUCAUAACUGGAGCAAAGGAAAAGGGAAUGUGUAUUGGGAAGAGUUUGAGAGAGGGUUAUGUGGUAGAUUUGGAGAUCCAAAGAUGGAGCAUGUGGCGGAAGAGUUCAUGAAAAUGAGGCAAGAAGGCACUGUGGAAGAUUAUCAAGACAAGUUUGAAGAAUUGAGGAUCCGGAUGGAGAUAAUUAUGCCACAGUUAGGGCAUGUGGCGGAAGAGUUCAUGAAAAUGAGGCAAGAAGGCACUGUGGAAGAUUAUCAAGACAAGUUUGAAGAAUUGAGGAUCCGGAUGGAGAUAAUUAUGCCACAGUUAGGGUUGGCAUAUUAUCCGUCAAGAUUCAUUGGAAGUUUGAAGGAUGAGAUUAGGCAUAAUGAGGCCUAAUUCCUUGUUUCAUGCUUUUGAGAUUGCUAAAUUUUAGAGAAAAAAAAAUUGUUGGAAUUAAUAGAACUACUAUUUUUACACCUAAAACCUUCACCAGCUGCUUCAGAUCCACACCAGGUCCCAAUACCACAGCUCUUUCUUGCCAAACUUCACAAUUGCACCAAACUUUUCCUUAUUCUCCAAGAUCAACACUGACACAAAUACAAGAUUCAAGACACAUAACAGAACCUGAAAAGCCGCCCAAUUCAAUAGUCAAAGCUCUGUAAACUAGUCUACCAAUAAACCAACUCAGCAACAUAAUCAAACCAAUACAAGAAAGCCAAGGCAUGUUUUAGGUGUGGAUAAAGAUAUUUUCCUAUACAGUCCUGCAAGCAAAAGAGUGCAAUGUCUUUAUAUGCUAAUGAGCAAGAUACAGGCUUGUACUAACAGAAAGGAAAGGAAGGGAAGGAAUGAGAGGUUGAGGGAUUUUAUUUUAACAAAUUGAUAUUGAGCAACUGAAAUGACAUAACCAUAUAAGUUGAGGGGACAGUGCAAUUUACUCCAAUUAUGUAAUAACAGCAAGCCUUUAAUAGAUCUAUUAAAGAAGGAUGCAUUUCAGUGGUCUGAGGUAACUCAACAAGCUUUUGCUAAACUCAGGUCUGCCACGUCUACAGCCCUUGAUUUGGCACUUCCUGAUUUCUCCAGACCCUUUAUAAUUGAGAAAAAUGAUAGUAUUUAUGGCACAUGCGCAAUUUUGCCACAAGGGCAUUUUAUUGCUUUCAUUUCCAAAGCAUUUGGGCCAAAAAAAUAAAGCUCUUUCAGCAUAUGAAAAAGAGCUCCUGGC
This 1267-nucleotide unclassified non-coding RNA is filed under the name Hevea brasiliensis (rubber tree). Lineage: Eukaryota; Viridiplantae; Streptophyta; Magnoliopsida; Malpighiales; Euphorbiaceae. The record is from RNAcentral.